This is a small nuclear RNA of Microtus ochrogaster (prairie vole), 107 nucleotides long. The record is from Ensembl. Lineage: Eukaryota; Metazoa; Chordata; Mammalia; Rodentia; Cricetidae.
AUGCUCGCUUCAGCAGCACGCAUACUAGCACUGGAACGGUACAAAGAAGAUCGGCAGGGCCCCUGUGCUAGGAUGGCAUGCAAAUUCGUGACACAUUCCUUAUUUUU